This is a long non-coding RNA of Corvus hawaiiensis (hawaiian crow), 1019 nucleotides long. RefSeq lists it as uncharacterized. NCBI's taxonomy places the organism in Eukaryota, Metazoa, Chordata, Aves, Passeriformes, Corvidae. The record is from RefSeq and is a predicted model, not a curated record. The transcript has 3 exons.
CUUUGUCCUCAUCUAGAAAUGUUCUACAGCAGCAGGUCUGUCUUAAUGUUUUCAUAAUGUAAAAGGUAAUUUCAUCUUUUCCCAUCUCUUGUUAGAAGACAGUGUUGGUUUCUCACCAUGGAGCCCAUAAAGAAAUCUCUGGCAGGAAGAUGUGGGGAAAGCAAGAGCUGGGAAGUGAUUUUUAGGGGCAGAAUGUCAGCUGCUCCUGCUUUCUGAAGAUUCCCUCCUACUCUGUCCUGGCCACACACCAACCUCCCGCUCAUCAUGCACUGAAAUGUUCCCUUUCCUCAUUCAGCUCUUUCCUUAAUAGAUGCUUCUUUUGUGAAAGCUUCCUGCAUCAUUUUUCUCCCUUUUGGUGACUCCAGACCUUCUCAGACUUGAACUAUUGUCCAGUAUGUAUUGUAUCCAUUUGAGUCAGGUUGUUAGGUCCAUACCCCAAAGGCCUCCAACCCCUCCUUCGCCCCCUCAGCGCACAAACACAGCAAAGGGAAUUAUAAAAUCUUAAUCAGGAGAACUCAGCAAGGUUCCUCGUGAGGAGCUGCCUACAAAAUGUCCUGGGGGAGAUGCAAGGCUUGCUGGAGUUGAGGUUCCUCUGCCCUGAAGGUUCAAGCACUAUUUUGGUGAAGUUUGGACCAAUGCUUGAACGCAAAAGCUGUGCUGCAGACAUCAUUACAAGAGCUUUUCACAACCUGACAGCAGACUUACAGAAAGAGCUUGGCUGCUGCUGUUUGAAUUUCUUGUGAUUCCUCAAUAGAAAGCAGGGGAGAGAUGCUAAGACCAUUUAAAGCACCGGAAAGAUGCAUUUGUUUAAAUCACUUAAGUGCUUAAGAAGUCAUUUGCUGCCUGUCUGCUGACUACUUAAACUAUCCCAAAUCUCGUGGUGCAUGCAGCAUGUAUUUGUACAGGUGUGGAAAUAAUCAUCUUCCAGUGUGUUAGACAUAAAGUAUUGUAUACAAAAAUGAAGUUCAAUAAAUGAAAAGUGUAAACCACAAGUCUUUGCUUCACAAAAACACGACCUA